RNAcentral lists this long non-coding RNA (718 nucleotides) under Triticum aestivum (bread wheat). Its description in RNAcentral is "long non-coding RNA (TAES_LNC018095)". The record is from RNAcentral. Lineage: Eukaryota; Viridiplantae; Streptophyta; Magnoliopsida; Poales; Poaceae.
CUUAUACAUAUGAACAAAUAGAACCAGCAGCCAACUAAUAAAGAAACUAGCAUGUGCUAUAUGACAGGAACAAUAACAUCUAUAAGACCAAGAUAAUUGCAAUGCUAGACCAACAGUAGCAUUGAAUGUGACAGUACAAGAGAAGGCAAAGUGGAAUGUGACAGCAGGUAGCUAUGAAUGGAUAAUGGGGGUUAGAAGAAGCUCUCUCUCUCUCUCUCCCUCCCCUCCAUGUUCCUGAUUAAACAAGAAUGGCAGCUGUAGAAAGUGUAGAAAAGCAGCUGCUGCUAAUGAGUACCCAUCAUCCUUGCCUGACACUACUUCCCGACAGAAGAGAAACACAAUGAUGUGCAGCAAAGUGCACAUGUAUGGGCCUUUCCAGACAAACGAACCAAGCAAAGAACCUGCAAAAAAAGGAGGUGGCAGCACAACAGAACCUCAUCACUGAUUUUGGGUAAAAAGGAGGUGGCAGCACAGCACAGCAGAAACUGAAUAAGAUUCGUCUCAUGAAUUUUUCUCCCGCGGGAACCAACCAGGGAGCAGGGGAAACAAAAAUCCUUCCUUUUCAACCAGGGGGAGGGGAUGGGGAUGAAAUCCUACCUACGACAGUCUCUAAUCGGCCCGAACAAGAAAGAUGUGAGAUUGGGUUCCAUGAAAUCCCUAUCCUAAACUGAUAACAUUACAAGUCGAGAAGGAAGAGGGGAGAGGAGGCGGAGCUCAC